Molecule: long non-coding RNA, 295 nt
Filed under: Homo sapiens (human)
Lineage: Eukaryota; Metazoa; Chordata; Mammalia; Primates; Hominidae
Description: HSALNT0354801
Source: RNAcentral
AGACCUGCGGGGGACGACAGGGAAGGGCUGGUGAGCGGAAGGCAGGCAGAGCAUCCCCCCGACUGCUUCACUCAGAGCUCUGCUGCCUCUGGGGACGCUGAUCUGUGUUUUGCCAAGAGGAUCCAAAAAGUCAGGUGGUUCCAGAGCUGAGCUGUACUCCCGAAUAUCACAGCCACGAGCCACGUAUGGCUGCUGAGCACUUAAAAUGGCAUUAGCCCAAAUUCAACCAGUCUGCAGGUGAAAACACACAACCUAUCUGAAGGCUGAAUAUGAAAAAAAAAGCAGUUGCCUUUCA